CAAACUCUUAUAAUUAGUCAAAUGCAUUGGAUUGUGACACAUUUUGACUAUAGAAACACUAACAAAUCUAUUGACUGCUUCUAAGCAAGUAUUGUUGGUUUUAGACUCUUUUGGGAGAAAAUGGGUAUUAGUGUUGUCUAAAAACUUCUAAUCCAUCUCUAACUCUUAUAAUUAGUCAAUUGCAUUGGAUUGUGACACAUAUUGACCAUAAAAAUUCUAACAAAGCUAUUUACUUCUUCUAAGCAAUGUUUUGUUGGUUUUAGCUUCUUUUAAAAGAUAAUGGAUAUAAGUGUUGUCUAAACACUCCUAAUCCAUCUCUAACUCUUAUAAUUACUCAAAUGCAUUAGAUUGUGAUAGAUUUUGA
This 364-nucleotide small RNA is filed under the name Arabidopsis thaliana (thale cress). Its description in RNAcentral is "ATSL036750". Lineage: Eukaryota; Viridiplantae; Streptophyta; Magnoliopsida; Brassicales; Brassicaceae. The record is from RNAcentral.